GAUGGAUAAUGUGUUGGUAGGCUUACCAAGCCAGAGGUUUGUCCUUCGGGUCCCACGUGCCCCACGCUGCUGCUGGCUUGUGCCCCUCCAUUUUCCCCACUGCUGCCUUGGCCACCCCACAGCAUCCUCUGAGAAGGACUUGUGCCUCUGUGUGCUCUGAAGAGGCACUCCGGGGCUGAAAACACAUGCCAGGAAAGAUUUCAUUUCACCAUCUUUUUUUGUUUUUAACAGAAUAACCGAAUCAGUCUCACGCCAUCCUUCCUUAUGCAGCUACAGAGGUUUGUGUCUGCCUAAAUGGAGAAAGAGGAUUGGUAAGAGAGAGAUGAGAAUUUACAGAAUUCAAACAUGAAGAUCUCUGCAAGACGAAAGCUUGUCACCCUCAUAUGUCUUCCUGAUCAGUUGGGAAACAGUCUUAAUCAGCUGAGACAGUCUGAGCAAACUCAGAAAACAAAGGAUUAUUGUUCAGCUCUCUCUAAAAGUGGCCUGAUUAAUACUUGAUUCUGUUGAACAAGGAGUGAAGUUUGGAGAGCCAGCCUGCCUUGGAGAAGUGUGGCUGUCGGUGCUACAGAGCAGCUCUUUCUGAAAUUAUUUUUCCUCAAGAGAGGGAGGACUGCAGCCCCAAACUUGAUUCUGAAGGGUCCAGGAUAUUCAAGCCUUCAAAGGUCAUUCAGACACAAACUAAGACAGACCAUCUAGCAAGCAUGUGGGGAUUGAGUUCAAAAUCAA
This is a long non-coding RNA of Corvus hawaiiensis (hawaiian crow), 726 nucleotides long. RefSeq lists it as uncharacterized. The transcript has 3 exons. NCBI's taxonomy places the organism in Eukaryota, Metazoa, Chordata, Aves, Passeriformes, Corvidae. The record is from RefSeq and is a predicted model, not a curated record.